AUACGUAGGGUGCAAGCGUUAAUCGGAAUUACUGGGCGUAAAGCGUGCGCAGGCGGUUUUUUAAGACAAUGGUGAAAUCCCCGGGCUCAACCUGGGAACUGCCAUUGUGACUGCAAGGCUGGAGUGCGGCAGAGGGGGAUGGAAUUCCGCGUGGAGCAGUGAAAUGCGUAGAUAUGCGGAGGAACACCGAUGGCGAAGGCAAUCCCCUGGGCCUGCACUGACGCUCAUGCACGAAAGCGUGGGGAGCAAACAGGAUUAGAUACCCUGGUAGUCCACGCCCUAAACGAUGUCAACUGGUUGUUGGGUCUUCAUUGACUCAGUAACGAAGCUAACGCGUGAAGUUGACCGCCUGGGGAGUACGGCCGCAAGGUUGAAACUCAAAUGAAUUGACGGGG
RNAcentral lists this ribosomal RNA (395 nucleotides) under uncultured bacterium. RNAcentral's name for it is "partial 16S ribosomal RNA". It matches the Rfam family "Bacterial small subunit ribosomal RNA", at positions 523 to 918 of the family's 1533-position model. The record is from RNAcentral.